UCCCCUUUGCUUUCUUUCUUUGGCUGCGCACUUCUCCCUGCAAUCUAAAUCCACCCAUUCUUCUGGUCAAUUAUCCCAAUGCAAUCCUUGUCUCUCAUGUCCUAAUUCGUGGAACUUCGGAGACGUUUUGUUUCGACAUCGUCUUGGCUCUCUUCAUUCCUUCUUUGAUUCAGCACUGUCACUUUGGCUCCGAGACAUUAAGUUGAUCCUCAAGUCAUAUGCAUUUCUACUGUCCUUUUUGGACAGUACACUCCACGCCUCCGACAAUAUCUGAAAUGCACCUUAUGCCCUUACUGACUUGUUCUUGUCAAGGUGCAGCGAGAGGGUCAUUCUUCGGUAAUGUCUCUUCAGUGUAACAUCCUCAGCCGAUGAAUCAACCCCCAUUAUGCCGUAGUAAUCAGGAGCGUCAUAUAUCUUGUGGCUGCUAGCAAUGUGUAUUUGGAUGGUCUCAAUCAACUGCGACAACCCAUCCAGUCCUGGAAAGAGGCUCUGAGCCCUUAAAGCCAAUCUCUUGCCUACCUCAAAGUCUCUUUCUAGAAAUUUAUUUUCAGCCAUCUCUUUGUCUCUUAUGGCUUCAUCCUUGUUGCAUUCCAUAUUUUGCUCUUUUUUUAUUCACCUCAAAUACUGCACUCAUAGUUAACAAUGGCACGUAUAAAUACAAGGAAAAAAAUGAUUUGAUAUAUUAAAGCAUACAUGAUCUACUGCAUAAUCGAUUUACAACAAUCGAUGAAUAAUCUUGGAGGAGAAUUAGCAUUCAAUGCUUGUUCUGAUAUACAUCGAGUUACUAUUUUAUUUUCUUC
Long non-coding RNA from Andrographis paniculata, 800 nucleotides. RefSeq lists it as uncharacterized. The transcript is spliced from 2 exons. Lineage: Eukaryota; Viridiplantae; Streptophyta; Magnoliopsida; Lamiales; Acanthaceae. The record is from RefSeq and is a predicted model, not a curated record.